Molecule: ribosomal RNA, 440 nt
Filed under: uncultured bacterium
Lineage: Bacteria
Description: partial 16S ribosomal RNA
Rfam family: Bacterial small subunit ribosomal RNA
Source: RNAcentral
CUACGGGACGCUGCAGUAAAGAAUCUUCCACAAUGGGCGAAAGCCUGAUGGAGCGACACCGCGUGCAGGAUGAAGGCUUUCGGGUCGUAAACUGCUUUUCUGAGGGAAGAAUUAUGACGGUACCUUAGGAAUAAGCACCGGCUAACUCCGUGCCAGCAGCCGCGGUAAUACGGAGGGUGCAAACGUUACCCGGAAUCAUUGGGCGUAAAGCGUCCGCAGGCUGCGCAGUAAGUCAGAUAUUAAAUCUUGAGGCUCAACUUCAAGCUCGUAUUUGAAACUGCUGUGCUAGAGACUUUCAGAGGUACGUGGAAUUCUUCAUGUAGGGGUAAAAUCCGUAGAUAUGAAGAGGAACACCAAAAGCGAAGGCAGCGUACUGGGAAAGUUCUGACGCUCAUGGACGAAAGCGUGGGGAGCAAACUGGAUUAGAUACCCUGGUAGUC